This 2166-nucleotide long non-coding RNA is filed under the name Homo sapiens (human). RNAcentral describes it as "HSALNT0367000". The record is from RNAcentral. Lineage: Eukaryota; Metazoa; Chordata; Mammalia; Primates; Hominidae.
UAAGGCUGAGACCUACUGAAGCAGGACAUUUCACUGACCCCUUUGUGGAACUCGCAACAGGGGUGCCCCGUUUACUCAGCCCACAGCUCUCAACUCCUCAUAGGAGGGAGUGAGCAAGCCAACAAGGCGGGAACUGGAAUACACGAGUGCUAGAAUCAGCUGGCUACUUCAUAGCUGGCAAGAGCAAACUCCACUCACUCAGACCCGCUGCUUUCCACCCCUCGUCGGACAGGGCACACAGGUAACCAAAGAAUCUGACCCAUAGGGUUUCUAACUCACAAAAGGAGGGUCCAACUAUGUGGAAGCUGUCACCUUUGAUGGAAUUUAUCUGAUACCAUAUAACAUAGUGGAAGGAGAGUCAAAGAAUUUGUGGCUAUUUUAAGUCACACAUCAUUUCUUUUUCCAUGCCCCACCCCUGGAACCUUCUCAAGGUGUUUGACUUCAACCAGAGUUGAAGAUCCCCCAUCUGCAAUACUGCUGCACCCCCACCUCAAGCCCCAGCUGAUUGAACCCCAGGUGGAUUCCUGAUUCAGGCAAUCCACAGGCUGGGCUGAAGCAAUCAUGAUGUCUCUCUAAGGAAUAUUAAUUAAAAGCCACAGAGACCCCAGUCAGUUUUAAGGAGGUGUGCCGCCAGAAACCAGGGUCAGCACCAUACCAAACCAAAGUUAUGGAGGAGUAAAAACCAAAAGUCUUGCAGAAGCAGCAGAUUUGGAGACAAAAAAAGCAGAACCCACAUGCAGAAAGAAAAGAGAGGCACCACGUGACCCUUGAGACAAAGUGACAGACAUUCCAGUGCUGCCAGACAGAUUUCCAGUAUCUGUGAGGUCCUGCUGUGCACCAGAGAAGAGAGUUCUGGGAAAACCCCUGCUAUGGGUUGAACUGUAUUCCCCAAACAUUCAUAUGUUGGAGCCUUAACCUCCAGGACCUUAGAAUGGGACCUUACUUGGAAAUAGAGUCAUUGCAGAUGUAAUUAGUUAAGCUGAGUUCCUACUGGAGUAGGGUGGGCCCCUAAUCCAAUAUAUUGUUGUCCUUAUAAAAAGGGGAAGUCUGGAGAAUAGUUAUCCUUCCAAGAUAAACUAUUUGCCAAAUAUGUAACAGAGUAACCAGCCAUUUCCAUAUGGGAUUUCUAGUCAUUUCCCAGUUAAAAAUUAAGGAAUAGGUACACGCAGUAAGAGCACUCAGUGAAGAUGAGGGCAGAGAUCAAGAUGCCACAUCUACAAACCAAGGAACACCAAAGAUUGCCAGAAACUAUCAGAAGCUAGGGGAAAGGCAUGGAACAGUUACUUCUUCACAGCCGUCAGAAGGAACCAACCCUGUUGACACCCGGACCUCAGACGUGAAGCCUCCAGAACCGUGUGGAGUGGCCAUAUAUAAAACCUGACUGUUACUCACAUAAAAUAUUGGCCUGAAACUCUCAGACUUCGAAGCAAGUAGCAGAUUUGGAUGGAAUACACCACAAAUUAAUAAAGCCAUAAUCUAGAGAAGGUAAUAAAUUGACUUUUUAAAUAUGAGAUACUCUAAACUCUGGCUUCAGUGGGGAAGAGUUUUUUUUUUUUACUUCAAGUUAUGCUGAUUUAAUUACAAAAUAAGCUUUUCCAAGGCACUGGCCUUUGUAAUGAAGGUAAAUAUUACAUGUUUGCUAAAAAACAGGGUUUUAUAAAACUCCUCACCUCAUAUAAACAAUUGUAAGUCUUUUGUUUUUUCCAGAAAAAAAAAAACUUUCACUAAGUAUUAGUCACUCAUAUAUCUAUAAAUCUCAGAGGAAUUUCCCCAAGCACUCUGGCUUCCCAAGUAGGAGAUUGUUUCUCCUAGUUCAAGUCUCAUUUCACUGUUAGGCUGGCUGUUAUUUCAUGGUGACUUGCCAUGUUAAUAGUAUGUCUUCUAAUCCACGAAUGUGAUAUAGCUCUCCAACUUAUUUGAGUCCUCUUCAGUUUUACUCAACAGUGUUUUGUAGUUUUCUGUGUAUAGGUUUUGGAAAUCCAUAAUUAAAUUUAUCCUUGGGUAUUCUAUGGUUCUUUGUUAUUAUGAAUUGUAUUUUUUAUCUCAUUUCCCAAUUGUUUUGCUGGUAUACAGAAAUAUAAUUUAUUUACCUAUAUGGACCUGGAAAAUUACAGCUUUGUUAAUUAAAUUCAACUAGUUAUAUUAGUUGUUUUGCAGAUUCCUUAG